Molecule: ribosomal RNA, 497 nt
Filed under: uncultured bacterium
Lineage: Bacteria
Description: partial 16S ribosomal RNA
Rfam family: Bacterial small subunit ribosomal RNA
Source: RNAcentral
GAUGAGCGCUGGCGGCGUGCCUAAUACAUGCAAGUCGAGCGAACGGACGAGAAGAUUGCUUCUCUGAUGUUAGCGGCGGACGGGUGAGUAACACGUGGAUAACCUACCUAUAAGACUGGGAUAACUUCGGGAAACCGGAGCUAAUACCGGAUAAUAUUUUGAACCGCAUGGUUCAAAAGUGAAAGACGGUCUUGCUGUCACUUAUAGAUGGAUCCGCGCUGCAUUAGCUAGUUGGUAAGGUAACGGCUUACCAAGGCAACGAUGCAUAGCCGACCUGAGAGGGUGAUCGGCCACACUGGAACUGAGACACGGUCCAGACUCCUACGGGAGGCAGCAGUAGGGAAUCUUCCGCAAUGGGCGAAAGCCUGACGGAGCAACGCCGCGUGAGUGAUGAAGGUCUUCGGAUCGUAAAACUCUGUUAUUAGGGAAGAACAUAUGUGUAAGUAACUGUGCACAUCUUGACGGUACCUAAUCAGAAAGCCACGGCUAACUACGUG